RNAcentral lists this ribosomal RNA (345 nucleotides) under uncultured Lachnospiraceae bacterium. RNAcentral's name for it is "bacterial SSU rRNA". It matches the Rfam family "Bacterial small subunit ribosomal RNA", at positions 28 to 339 of the family's 1533-position model. The record is from RNAcentral. Lineage: Bacteria; Bacillati; Bacillota; Clostridia; Lachnospirales; Lachnospiraceae.
GAUGAACGCUGGCGGCGUGCUUAGCACAUGCAAGUCGAACGAAGCGUCCCGCCCGAUGAAAUGGAGAGCUUGCUCAAAGUAGAAUCAAUUGGGAUGACUUAGUGGCGGACGGGUGAGUAACGCGUGGGUAACCUGCCUUACACAGGGGGACAACAGUUGGAAACGACUGCUAAUACCGCAUAAGCGCACGGUAUCGCAUGAUAUAGUGUGAAAAGAUUUAUCGGUGUAAGAUGGACCCGCGUCUGAUUAGAUAGUUGGUGAGGUAACGGCUCACCAAGCCCGCGAUCAGUAGGGGUUCUGAGAGGAAGGUCCCCCACAUUGGAACUGAGACACGGUCCAAACUCC